GGACGAACGCUGGCGGCGUGCUUAACACAUGCAAGUCGAACGGAAAGGCCCUGCUUUUGUGGGGUGCUCGAGUGGCGAACGGGUGAGUAACACGUGAGUAACCUGCCCUUGACUUUGGGAUAACUUCAGGAAACUGGGGCUAAUACCGGAUAGGAGCUCCUGCUGCAUGGUGGGGGUUGGAAAGUUUCGGCGGUUGGGGAUGGACUCGCGGCUUAUCAGCUUGUUGGUGGGGUAGUGGCUUACCAAGGCUUUGACGGGUAGCCGGCCUGAGAGGGUGACCGGCCACAUUGGGACUGAGAUACGGCCCAGACUCCCACGGGAGGCAGCAGUGGGGAAUAUUGCACAAUGGGCGGAAGCCUGAUGCAGCAACGCCGCGUGCGGGAUGACGGCCUUCGGGUUGUAAACCGCUUUCGCCUGUGACGAAGCGUGAGUGACGGUAAUGGGUAAAGAAGCACCGGCUAACUACGUGCCAGCAGCCGCGGUGAUACGUAGGGUGCGAGCGUUGUCCGGAUUUAUUGGGCGUAAAGGGCUCGUAGGUGGUUGAUCGCGUCGGAAGUGUAAUCUUGGGGCUUAACCCUGAGCGUGCUUUCGAUACGGGUUGACUUGAGGAAGGUAGGGGAGAAUGGAAUUCCUGGUGGAGCGGUGGAAUGCGCAGAUAUCAGGAGGAACACCAGUGGCGAAGGCGGUUCUCUGGGCCUUUCCUGACGCUGAGGAGCGAAAGCGUGGGGAGCGAACAGGCUUAGAUACCCUGGUAGUCCACGCUGUAAACGGUGGGUACUAGGUGUGGGGUCCAUUCCACGGGUUCCGUGCCGUAGCUAACGCUUUAAGUACCCCGCCUGGGGAGUACGGCCGCAAGGCUAAACUCAAAGGAAUUGACGGGGCCCCGCACAAGCGGCGGAGCAUGCGGAUUAAUUCGAUGCAACGCGUAGAACCUUACCUGGGUUUGACAUGGAUCGGGAGCGCUCAGAGAUGGGUGUGCCUCUUUUGGGGUCGGUUCACAGGUGGUGCAUGGCUGUCGUCAGCUCGUGUCGUGAGAUGUUGGGUUAAGUCCCGCAACGAGCGCAACCCUUGUUCACUGUUGCCAGCACGUUAUGGUGGGGACUCAGUGGAGACCGCCGGGGUCAACUCGGAGGAAGGUGGGGAUGACGUCAAGUCAUCAUGCCCCUUAUGUCCAGGGCUUCACGCAUGCUACAAUGGCUGGUACAGAGAGUGGCGAGCCUGUGAGGGUGAGCGAAUCUCGGAAAGCCGGUCUCAGUUCGGAUUGGGGUCUGCAACUCGACCUCAUGAAGUCGGAGUCGCUAGUAAUCGCAGAUCAGCAACGCUGCGGUGAAUACGUUCCCGGGGCUUG
RNAcentral lists this ribosomal RNA (1348 nucleotides) under uncultured Propionibacterium sp. Its description in RNAcentral is "bacterial SSU rRNA". It matches the Rfam family "Bacterial small subunit ribosomal RNA", at positions 27 to 1383 of the family's 1533-position model. Lineage: Bacteria; Bacillati; Actinomycetota; Actinomycetes; Propionibacteriales; Propionibacteriaceae. The record is from RNAcentral.